CGUACAGAUGUUGAACAUCAUUUAACUUGCACAUAAUCUUUACUAAGGAGAUUCUAUAAGUCAUUUUUGUAGUUCAUUCUAUUGUCUUGUCUUCUGUUUAUGCUGCACAAUGAUGCAGUGAAAAGAAGAAAGGGAUUUUUCUUAGCGGCAGACAGUCCACAGGAUAAGACUGUUGAAGUUGGACCUGGAAAUCUGAAGAUGUCCUUUUCUCGAACCACAGGACAGCUCAAACGGAUGUAUAAUUCAAGAACUGGGGUAAGUUGUAUCUUGGUGGACCAAACUACGAAUUGUUGAUAUCAUCCACUUACACAUAGUGUCACAGUCUAUAUACCCAUUUUCCAGUGCAUAUAUUAAUAGAUGCAUGUGUAAAGAGGUGAUAACAUUUUACCAGGUUGAUGUACCGAUACAACAGAGCUUUCUCUGGUAUGGUUCAAUGGUAGAUACUCAGGUAAGUUCUCGCGGUACCCUGGAUUAGAAUAUCCAAAUUCUGUUGUGGUGCCAGUUGACAUUCCAAUUGUACCCUCUCUUGCAGUCUUCAGGUGCCUACAUUUUCCGGCCUAAUGGGGCACAACCAAAUGUUGUUUCAAGAUCAGUAAGAACAUUAUUUGGUUUGCUUCCUAUCUUGCCAUUCUCACUACACAGAAAUGUAAAUGUGGAAGAACACAUAAAAGUGAAAAAUUAAUAAGCUACUUCCAUCAACACCACAAAGCCUCAUCCAAAUUUAUGGAAUUUUGCCUGUGCAAUUUCCAAUAUAUUUUCUUUUUUUCCUCGCACCUUCUAAUCUCUUCCACUGUCUAUUAGUUGUGCAAACAUUUGGUAAUUACUUUGAUCUUCCUUUAUAUCUAUUAAAAUAUGUUAAUUUAAUUUGCAGGUGCCCAUUAAAAUUAUUCGUGGGCCAAUGGUUGAUGAAGUGCACCAACAAUUUAAUUCAUGGAUCUACCAGGUCAUCAAUCUUCCCGUUCAAUACCCCCUUCUGUCUAUAUACAUUAAGUGUAUAUGUACAAGUCCCUACACAUACACACCAGGGAAUAUCAACAUCAGUGUUGUGCAACAAUACAGGAUAUGUGUUUUCAUCUAGAGGGUUAAUUAUAUAAUUUGCAAGAUAUUGAAAAUAGAAACUUUAUAAUAGUUUCGGUGGCGUAUUAUCAUAACCGCUGCUUUUUCUUCAUAUUUUGAAGAUGCAUAAAUUUGUACAAGCAUUUUUCAUCUUCCAUCAAAUGGUUACUUUCAGGUUGUAGUGGCAUAUAAUCCUCUUGGAUGGAACCGAACUGACAUUAUUAGAAUACCAGUGAGUACAUAUUUGCUCCUUUUUUGUGGAUUUGGGAACAAGUGUGAUUCUAUUAAUUAUGUUAGUGAGGACCUGAUCAAAUGCCUAUUAUUAGUACACCUUAUCAGAUUUUAGUACCAUGAGCUCUGUCUUGACCUUCUUCUUUCCUAUUAACAUGCUAAUAAAAAGUACAAUAUUUUCCCUAAUUGUGAUUUUCAAAUACAAUACCUACCAGGUUAAUGAUGCUAAUCUUAUUGUCAAAGAUCCCUUGGGCAAUGCUAUCAAUGUGCAAUAUGUAAAUUUGGAUAAUGUUACAAGCAACUUAAGAAAAUUCUACACAGAGGCCUACUUGGGACAGUCAUCAAAGCGAGUACCCAGAUAUUGGCUUCUCUUUCAAGUAACUGUGCCACCACUAGGUUGGAACACUUACUUCAUUUCCCGAGCAGCUGGGAAAGGUACUUGUCUACUCCUUUGCCCUUGCUCUGCCUUAGGAGCGUACAGAUGUUGAACAUCAUUUAACUUGCACAUAAUCUUUACUAAGGAGAUUCUAUAAGUCAUUUUUGUAGUUCAUUCUAUUGUCUUGUCUUCUGUUUAUGCUGCACAAUGAUGCAGUGAAAAGAAGAAAGGGAUUUUUCUUAGCGGCAGACAGUCCACAGGAUAAGACUGUUGAAGUUGGACCUGGAAAUCUGAAGAUGUCCUUUUCUCGAACCACAGGACAGCUCAAACGGAUGUAUAAUUCAAGAACUGGGGU
Molecule: long non-coding RNA, 2018 nt
Filed under: Citrus sinensis (sweet orange)
Lineage: Eukaryota; Viridiplantae; Streptophyta; Magnoliopsida; Sapindales; Rutaceae
Description: long non-coding RNA (CSIN_LNC000467)
Source: RNAcentral